GACGAACGCUGGCGGCGUGCUUAACACAUGCAAGUCGAACGGUGACGAGGAGCUUGCUCCUCUGAUCAGUGGCGAACGGGUGAGUAACACGUGAGCAACCUGCCCCAGACUCUGGGAUAACAGUUGGAAACAGCUGCUAAUACCGGAUACGAGACGGAGAGGCAUCUCUACCGUCUGGAAAGUUUUUCGGUCUGGGAUGGACUCGCGGCCUAUCAGCUAGUUGGUGAGGUAAUGGCUCACCAAGGCGACGACGGGUAGCCGGCCUGAGAGGGCGACCGGCCACACUGGGACUGAGACACGGCCCAGACUCCUACGGGAGGCAGCAGUGGGGAAUAUUGCACAAUGGGCGAAAGCCUGAUGCAGCGACGCCGCGUGAGGGAUGACGGCCUGGUUGUAACGUCUUCUAGCAGGAGAAGAGAAAGUAGACGGUACUGCAGAAGAAGACACCGGCUAACAACGUGCCAGCACGCGGUAACAUAA
Molecule: ribosomal RNA, 480 nt
Filed under: uncultured bacterium
Lineage: Bacteria
Description: bacterial SSU rRNA
Rfam family: Bacterial small subunit ribosomal RNA
Source: RNAcentral